This is a non-coding RNA of Cherax quadricarinatus, 4768 nucleotides long. Lineage: Eukaryota; Metazoa; Arthropoda; Malacostraca; Decapoda; Parastacidae. The record is from RefSeq and is a predicted model, not a curated record.
UUGGCACUAGAAGCUUUCUUGGGGCCCAUGGUCACUUAUUUUCCAGAAACACCACCGAAAACACUGUAAUAAUACGAAAUAUUCCGAGUGUAUGCUUGGAUGUUAGCGCGGAGGCUGCCUGGUAAACAAUGGCACGGGCGGCACAUGUGAGGCUGGGUGAGGGCGCACAUUAGACGCGUCUCGGACGAAAAUCGGUGAGCGGGUUUUUAAUCGGUAUGCGCGGCAAAAAUUUUGCGAUUAAAGUAAGCGGUAUGCGAAAUAAUCGCUAUGUGAUGCCAUCGUUAUGCGGGGGUCCACUGUAUAUAUUGGAUUAAUAUAGGGUGAAAAGUAUAUAUAUAUAUUCUUCAACUUUGCAGUUUUGCCUGUCUUGCACCCCAGAGUACAGCAACACUCAAGGCUAGAGAGUACAAGUGCCUCAAAGAAUAUUAUCACUGGCUUGGCAUGUCUUGUUUUGAAGGUUCAAGUUAUGCAGCUUAUCAUUUUCUUGUGGUUGUUAAAAAACCACUGCUGUCAUCCUUUGAAUGUAACAUCUGCCAGUAUCAUUACUCUGCUCUGUUGAGUUUUUUUCGUAUCUCAGUUUUAUUUCUUAAAUUUUUCCACAUUUGCUACGUAUAUUGCAUUUUGAAGAAGACAGUAGAUAAAAUGUGUGUGGACCCUCCUGCUUCUUGACAGGGUACGAUAUUUCUUGUAUUACUUUACUUUAACCCUUAAACUGUCCAAGCGUAGAUCUAUGUUCACUCGUGUAGCACUCUGAAUGUAGAUCUAUGUUUCCUUUACAUAAGAAAGCAUGUAAAAUCGAGAGUAGAUUUAUGUUCGGAGCACUAUGCGAGUGAACGUAGAUCUACGUUUGGACAGUUUAAGGGUUAAGCAAUCCAUAAACUGAAACACAUUUACAGGAAAUGUUUUAAAUAUUUCAGUACCUGUCAAAACAGUUUACUAAAUUUUUACAAGUACUUUAUUAUAAUAAAUAAUUUUGGUUCGUCACAAAAUUGCAUCAUUGUGCAUCAGUAAAUUUCAGGCUCUCAAGUUAUUCACUUUAUGGAAGUGUAAUGUGUUUGUAUUUUUUUACAAAUCGUUCAUGUUAUUAUGUACUAUUUUAUGUGCUCUCGUCAUUAGAAGGCAAGUAGAACCAUAUACAGUAUAAGGAUGUAUUGAUGAUAUGCUGCACAAACAAACACACACGCACACACACACACACACACACAAACAGAGCAUGUCUGGCAGUGGGGUGUGUGUGUGUGUGUGUGUGUGUGUGUGUGUGUGUGUGUGUGUGUGUGUGUGUGUGUAUAAAUAUAUCCGUUUAUUAUAAGUCUGAUAGUUUUCAAUUGUGAGAGAACAGGUCACCAUUUUUGUCUUCUAACAUCUCAUUGUUUACAUAUUGCUGUAUUUUGGCAGCUGGUAGCCACUGAUUUUACACCAAUCAGCUUUCUCGGAGCAAACUCAGUACACAAUCCAGAGUGGCACUCAUCUCUCCAGCUAAAACUGGCCAUAUCUUUUUUUUGUGUGAAAUAAUUCAGGACCCCUGCAAACUGUCCUCCAUGCAUCUAUAUGCUCUUGUUUUGUCAUGUCACUUCAGUCUGAUGCAAUCUUUCACUCAUCUCCACAAAUUUGCCAGGUAAUGCCAACACAGCUUAUUUGCACAGCACUACCUUAUUAGACAUCUGCCAAACUGACAAAUUAGUAAAUGCAAAACUUAUUAAAAUUACAAUUACUGUACAAGUUAUUUAAACAAAUACAAAAAAGACAAAAAAGCUAUUUAUGCAUACAACUUGAACUGGCUAUCCUAUCUAGGUGAUAUGAAUCCCUCAAUCGUGGAGUCUUCCAUCGUCACUGAACACUUCUGCAGUCAUCUCCAACAUCCUGGUCUGUGGACCCACCAAUCUGUCAGGUGGAGAAGUGGUGUUGCAAGGGACGACUACUGUGCCUCCUAGGGAUGAUCUGGGAACUCUUUGACGACCUUCAUCACUCUUGGUCUUCAGUGCUGCAAGCGCAUUCAUGUCAAGAUUUCCUGCAGGGAUGACAUCUCUGCCUCCUGUCAUGAUCUGGAAACUCCUUACAGUGUCCACCUUGGCCUCCAGAUGUGAUGGUGGUUGGCGAGCCGUCCCUGAUGGGUGGCGAGUUUGGAGAUGAAGACGAGCGGCUGAUAACCCGGCUAGAGAACACGCAGUACGACACCACCGGCGUAGAAGAUGGCGGUAAUGGUGGUGCACCGCAGGGAGCGGGACCUGGGGGUCCCGGACCCGGUCCUGCUGGACCCACCCCAUUCAACAAUUCACCGAUGACCGCUGGUCCUGGUGGGCCUUGGCCUGACCCUGCACGACAACCCCAGGAGACUGAUAAGAAGAGUCCAGCAAUCAGUCAGUAGCCCACACAAAUUUACACAUUUAGCUUCUCUUAUAUGAAGUAGACCUAAGAAUGAAUGCAUAGCUUCAGGAAUGGCAAUGUUUAUUUGGAAUGACCUCAGAUUAGGACAUUCCUGGUACAGUGAAGUUGUCCAUGAGAGGAGAGCUGUGGAGUGAAGCAGAUGGUGCAGGCCAACAAGUAUUACAAAAUAGUUGGCAAUCCAUCACUGAAGCAUUUUUAAUAAAUUGAAAUGUUAAUAGUUUUUAUUAUUUUAAUAGAAAAAAUAUCAAAAUAUAAAUUAAAAAUCUUUUGUUGUAGAACAUGACUGAUUUUAGAAAAUCAUUGUGAUCAAGGGUUUUAUGGGAAAUUUUUUACAAUUGAACUAUGGACUUCAAAGAUACAGAGGUGAAAACUCUGCUGACUUUACACAAGAAGGGUUGACAAUCCUCCUUAGGAACUAAGCUCAUAACCGACUGUAAGAAGGUGAUUUAAGCUACUAAGGCAGACGUGUGGAUAUGGGUAGCAGAGAGCAUUCUUCAUGUACCCUGAAGCUUCCCAUGAAGCUUCUCUUAUGGCCUGUUUUCAUAUCGACAGUGGUGCACACUUGUGAAUGCUUUGUAACUUUUAUAUUAUUUAGAGAAAAAUUAAUAGGGACCAAUGUUUUGGUCAGAGUUACAAGGUUAUUACAUUCUCUCUUGAGUUAUAUUGUCAUUCUCAUAAAAAAGAUGGGCCGUUAAUAUUUUAAUACAGUGUCAUUCAGAAGAAUGAAACGUGAGCCUUUGCAAAUCUGCUUGUCGUGAGAGAUGGUAGUUGUUCCUUUUUAUUCAUGUUUUAUGGCUGAAUGACCAUUGUGUGGUGUGAUGAUUCCUGUGAAGUAUUUAUACUUUGGCUUGCAAGUGGAAAGUAUUUUAUGGAUAUUGGUGAGAAUGUUAUCAAGAGUGAGUCUUUAUGUUGUGUGUGUGUAUAUUUGUAGUAGUAUAAGUUUUAAGUAUGGUACACGGCCUACACUAGCAAUAUUUCCAGGUAUGGGAAGUAUCCUGCACAAAAUUCCUUCUUUUUUUUUUUUAUACAUAUAGAAUCUGCAUUUAUAACCUUCAUUUAUCACAUUGGCAGAAAUGUUAUUUUUGCAUGCAUCAUACUGCACAGACGAUUUUACUAUUAUCAUUUUCUUCAACUAUUCCUGAGAGAACUUCAGGUAUCCAAGUGUAGGUAGUCAAAUGUGCUCUUAAGUUUAUAGUAAGCAACAGUUAUUAAGAUGCCUCAAGAUUAUUGAGUGUAUUGUCAACUAUCUUACGUUUUUUUUUUUCCUAAAUAUAUUGUAUGUAACCUUUUACAUUAUAGCUUUGUUUGGUUUGACAUCAUUUGUUCAUGAAUUUAAUUUUACCUCUUACAUGUUACAUUUUGUAAAGCAUUUCAUUAUCUUUUUAUACCAAAUGGGACUUCAUUAUAAUGCAUAUAUAAUAUGGAUGACUGGCAGGGUAUAUGACAUUGUUAUCCUAUAUUUUCUUCUGACUACAUGAACAGCAGUUAAUACUUGUAUCUUUGUACAAAUUUUCCAAGGAGUAGUAGUGUUUUUUCUAAUCAAAAUUCUGUACAAGCAAUAUGCAAAGGGAGACUGCAAGCCAGAGGCUUUUCCACAUUUGGUUUUAUACGAUAACCUUCACUGAACAAAAUAUUAUGCUUUAAAAAGGCAUUUAUCAUCUUGGCAUUUUCUUAUACAAUAGCAUGUAAACUCUCUUCUAUGUUCUCUCUUCAAACUGUCUCCUUAUAUCAGCCAUUUUCUUUUUGUUAUUCUGUACAGUAGUUUGAUUGGUUUAUGAACCUGCCUAGUAAACAUUCCACCAGAUAAAGUAAAAAUGAAAAUAUUUUUAUUUCUUCAAUAAAACUUUAAAAUAAAUCUAAUCAGAGGAAACUCUUCUUGUUCUUGCUUAAGAAAAAUUGAACAGUUUGAUAUUUUUGAACACACUGGUUGCCUAGGAAGAACACACUGGGUGCCUAGGAAGAACACACUGGGUGCCUAGGAAGAACACACUGGGUGCCUAGGAAGAACACACUGGUUGCCUAGGAAGAACACACUGGGUACCUAGGAAGAACACGCUGGGUACCUAGGAAGAAACAGACUUCUUGUGAAUCUCACAGGCUCCCAUCUGCAGUCCAUAUCAAGUGAAUGAGGCAUUUCUCACAAACUCUCUGUACAUUAUGGUGAAUGUUGAAUGCGAGACUACACUUUAAUUCUUUGGAGUUUGGUGUCGACUUGCCUUGGUUCCUCGUAUCGAGACUCCUCCCUGAGAACUCUCUUGUGUUACCUCUCUUGUAAAGUGUACAAAUCUUUGUUUGGAUGUGAUUGGUCGCCAAGAUUUCCCGAGAGGAAGCUACUAUUUCUUGUCUUCUAGAGCGAGUGAUGAUAAUAAAUAUUUUUAAUCUA